RNAcentral lists this ribosomal RNA (217 nucleotides) under uncultured bacterium. RNAcentral's name for it is "partial 16S ribosomal RNA". It matches the Rfam family "Bacterial small subunit ribosomal RNA", at positions 118 to 336 of the family's 1533-position model. The record is from RNAcentral.
UGAGCAAUCUGCCCUUCUCAUCGGAAUAAGCGUUGGAAACGACGUCUAAUGCCGAAUACGACCUCCUUUCACAUGAUCGGAGGUGGAAAGCUCCGGCGGAGAAGGAUGAGCUCGCGGCCUAUCAGCUAGUUGGUGAGGUAACGGCUCACCAAGGCAACGACGGGUAGCUGGUCUGAGAGGAUGGCCAGCCACAUUGGGACUGAGACACGGCCCAGAU